RNAcentral lists this ribosomal RNA (424 nucleotides) under uncultured bacterium. RNAcentral's name for it is "bacterial SSU rRNA". It matches the Rfam family "Bacterial small subunit ribosomal RNA", at positions 355 to 776 of the family's 1533-position model. The record is from RNAcentral.
UAAGGAAUAUUGGUCAAUGGGCGAGAGCCUGAACCAGCCAUGCCGCGUGCAGGAAGACGGCCUUAUGGGUUGUAAACUGCUUUUAUCGGGGAAUAAACCUGUCUACGUGUAGGCAGCUGAAGGUACCCGAAGAAUAAGCAUCGGCUAACUCCGUGCCAGCAGCCGCGGUAAUACGGAGGAUGCAAGCGUUAUCCGGAUUCAUUGGGUUUAAAGGGUGCGCAGGCGGAUUGGUAAGUCAGUGGUGAAAUUCAACGGCUCAACUGUUGAUCUGCCAUUGAUACUGUCAGUCUAGAGUAUAGUUGGAGUGGGCGGAAUGUGUCAUGUAGCGGUGAAAUGCUUAGAUAUGACACAGAACACCGAUCGCGAAGGCAGCUCACUAAGCUAAAACUGACGCUCAUGCACGAAAGCGUGGGGAUCAAACAGG